This 585-nucleotide ribosomal RNA is filed under the name uncultured bacterium. RNAcentral's name for it is "partial 16S ribosomal RNA". It matches the Rfam family "Bacterial small subunit ribosomal RNA", at positions 355 to 937 of the family's 1533-position model. The record is from RNAcentral.
UGGGGAAUUUUGGACAAUGGGCGCAAGCCUGAUCCAGCCAUGCCGCGUGCGGGAAGAAGGCCUUCGGGUUGUAAACCGCUUUUGUCAGGGAAGAAAUCUUCUGAGUUAAUACCUCGGGAGGAUGACGGUACCUGAAGAAUAAGCACCGGCUAACUACGUGCCAGCAGCCGCGGUAAUACGUAGGGUGCAAGCGUUAAUCGGAAUUACUGGGCGUAAAGCGUGCGCAGGCGGUUUUGUAAGACAGAGGUGAAAUCCCCGGGCUCAACCUGGGAACUGCCUUUGUGACUGCAAGGCUUGAGUGCGGCAGAGGGGGAUGGAAUUCCGCGUGUAGCAGUGAAAUGCGUAGAUAUGCGGAGGAACACCGAUGGCGAAGGCAAUCCCCUGGGCCUGCACUGACGCUCAUGCACGAAAGACGUGGGGAGCAAACAGGAUUAGAUACCCUGGUAGUCCACGCCCUAAACGAUGUCAACUGGUUGUUGGGAAGGUUCCUUCUCAGUAACGUAGCUAACGCGUGAAGUUGACCGCCUGGGGAGUACGGCCGCAAGGUUGAAACUCAAAUGAAUUGACGGGGUCAUAGCUGUUUCC